This 479-nucleotide long non-coding RNA is filed under the name Marmota monax (woodchuck). Lineage: Eukaryota; Metazoa; Chordata; Mammalia; Rodentia; Sciuridae. The record is from RNAcentral.
GAAUGGGCCAAGCUGGUGUGCAGGCCUGUAAUCCCAGCAUUUGGGAGGCUGAGGCAGGAGGAUUGCAAGUUUGAGGCCAGCCUCUGUAAUUUAGCGAGGCCCUAAGCAACUUAGUGAGACCCUGUCUCAAAAGAUAAAAAGGGAUGAAGCUCAGUGGUAAAGUACCCCAGGUUCAAACCUAGUAUAAAAAAACAAAAACAAAUGAAUAGAAUAUUAUUCAGCUAUAAAAAGGAAUGAAGCCUUGACAGGUGAUAGACAUAGAUGAACCGUGAAAGCGUGCCGAGAGAAGCCAGGCACAGAAGACACGUGGGGUAUGAGGUCCUGCGAACUGUCCAGAAUAGGCGGAUCCAGAGAGGUGGAGAGCAGAUCAGUGGUUGCAGUGGACCACCAGGGGCCACUGACGUGGUGAGUUUGUUGUGGAUGGUGAAAAUGUCCUGGAAUCAGUGGUGAUGGUUGCACAAAGUCACAAAUAGACCAAC